RNAcentral lists this ribosomal RNA (253 nucleotides) under uncultured bacterium. RNAcentral describes it as "partial 16S ribosomal RNA". It matches the Rfam family "Bacterial small subunit ribosomal RNA", at positions 524 to 776 of the family's 1533-position model. The record is from RNAcentral.
UACGGGGGGGGCAAGCGUUAUUCGGAAUUAUUGGGCGUAAAGGGCGCGUAGGCGGCUUGGUAAGUCAGAGGUGAAAUCCCUCGGCUCAACUGAGGAAUUGCCUUUGAAACUGCCAGGCUUGAGGCCGGGAGGGGGUAGCGGAAUUCCCAGUGUAGCGGUGAAAUGCGUAGAUAUCUGGAGGAACACCGGUGGCGAAGGCGGCAUCCUGGACCGGUAUUGACGCUGAGGCGCGAAGGCUAGGGGAGCAAACGGG